GACGAACGCUGGCGGCGUGCUUAACACAUGCAAGUCGAGCGGUAAGGCCCUUUCGGGGUACGACGAGCGGCGAGCGGGUGAGUAACAACGUGGGUGGACCUGCCCUCCAGCUCUGGGAGUAAAGCCUGGGAAACGUAGGGUCGUAAUACUGGAUAUGACUCCACGGUGCAUGUCGUGGGGUGGAAAGCCUUGUGCGGCUGAGGAUGGGCCCGCCGGCCUAUCAGCUUGUUGGUGGGGUGAUGGCCUACCAAGGCGACGACGGGUAGCCGGCCUGAGAGGGCGACCGGCCACACUGGGACUGAGACACGGCCCAGACUCCUACGGGAGGGCAG
This 332-nucleotide ribosomal RNA is filed under the name uncultured bacterium. RNAcentral describes it as "bacterial SSU rRNA". It matches the Rfam family "Bacterial small subunit ribosomal RNA", at positions 28 to 354 of the family's 1533-position model. The record is from RNAcentral.